UACGGAGGGAGCUAGCGUUAUUCGGAAUUACUGGGCGUAAAGCGUACGUAGGCGGCUUUGCAAGUUAGAGGUGAAAGCCUGGAGCUCAACUCCAGAACUGCCUUUAAAACUGCAUCGCUUGAAUCCAGGAGAGGUGAGUGGAAUUCCGAGUGUAGAGGUGAAAUUCGUAGAUAUUCGGAAGAACACCAGUGGCGAAGGCGGCUCACUGGACUGGUAUUGACGCUGAGGUACGGAAAGCGUGGGGAGCAAACAGG
RNAcentral lists this ribosomal RNA (254 nucleotides) under uncultured bacterium. Its description in RNAcentral is "partial 16S ribosomal RNA". It matches the Rfam family "Bacterial small subunit ribosomal RNA", at positions 524 to 776 of the family's 1533-position model. The record is from RNAcentral.